UUCGGAGGUACUCGAGUGGCGAACGGGUGAGUAACACGUGGGCAAUCUGCCCUGCACUUCGGGAUAAGCCUGGGAAACUGGGUCUAAUACCGGAUAGGACCUUUAGACGCAUGUCUUUUGGUGGAAAGCUUUUGCGGUGUGGGAUGGGCCCGCGGCCUAUCAGCUUGUUGGUGGGGUGACGGCCUACCAAGGCGACGACGGGUAGCCGGCCUGAGAGGGUGUCCGGCCACACUGGGACUGAGAUACGGCCCAGACUCCUACGGGAGGCAGCAGUGGGGAAUAUUGCACAAUGGGCGCAAGCCUGAUGCAGCGACGCCGCGUGGGGGAUGACGGCCUUCGGGUUGUAAACCUCUUUCACCAUCGACGAAGGUUCGGGUUUUCUCGGAUUGACGGUAGGUGGAGAAGAAGCACCGGCCAACUACGUGCCAGCAGCCGCGGUAAUACGUAGGGUGCGAGCGUUGUCCGGAAUUACUGGGCGUAAAGAGCUCGUAGGUGGUUUGUCGCGUUGUUCGUGAAAUCUCACGGCUUAACUGUGAGCGUGCGGGCGAUACGGGCAGACUAGAGUACUGCAGGGGAGACUGGAAUUCCUGGUGUAGCGGUGGAAUGCGCAGAUAUCAGGAGGAACACCGGUGGCGAAGGCGGGUCUCUGGGCAGUAACUGACGCUGAGGAGCGAAAGCGUGGGGAGCGAACAGGAUUAGAUACCCUGGUAGUCCACGCCGUAAACGGUGGGUACUAGGUGUGGGUUUCCUUCCUUGGGAUCCGUGCCGUAGCUAACGCAUUAAGUACCCCGCCUGGGGAGUACGGCCGCAAGGCUAAAACUCAAAGGAAUUGACGGGGGCCCGCACAAGCGGCGGAGCAUGUGGAUUAAUUCGAUGCAACGCGAAGAACCUUACCUGGGUUUGACAUGCACAGGACGCGUCUAGAGAUAGGCGUUCCCUUGUGGCCUGUGUGCAGGUGGUGCAUGGCUGUCGUCAGCUCGUGUCGUGAGAUGUUGGGUUAAGUCCCGCAACGAGCGCAACCCUUGUCUCAUGUUGCCAGCGGGUAAUGCCGGGGACUCGUGAGAGACUGCCGGGGUCAACUCGGAGGAAGGUGGGGAUGACGUCAAGUCAUCAUGCCCCUUAUGUCCAGGGCUUCACACAUGCUACAAUGGCCGGUACAAAGGGCUGCGAUGCCGUAAGGUUAAGCGAAUCCUUUUAAAGCCGGUCUCAGUUCGGAUUGGGGUCUGCAACUCGACCCCAUGAAGUCGGAGUCGCUAGUAAUCGCAGAUCAGCAACGCUGCGGUGAAUACG
Molecule: ribosomal RNA, 1290 nt
Filed under: Mycobacterium intracellulare
Lineage: Bacteria; Bacillati; Actinomycetota; Actinomycetes; Mycobacteriales; Mycobacteriaceae
Description: bacterial SSU rRNA
Rfam family: Bacterial small subunit ribosomal RNA
Source: RNAcentral